GUUGGCUUAGAAGCAGCCAUCCUUUAAAGAAAGCGUAAUAGCUCACUGGUCGAGUCGGUCUGCGCGGAAGAUUUAACGGGGCUAAGCUAUGCACCGAAGCUCGGGGUGUGCACGCAAGUGCACGCGGUAGAGGAGCGUUCCGUAAGCCUGUGAAGGUGGAUUGUAAAGUCCGCUGGAGGUAUCGGAAGUGCGAAUGCUGACAUGAGUAACGAUAAUGGGGGUGAAAAGCCCCCACGCCGAAAGCCCAAGGUUUCCUCGCGCAACGUUCAUCGGCGCAGGGUGAGUCGGCCCCUAAGGCGAGGCAGAAAUGCGUAGUCGAUGGGAAGCUGGUUAAUAUUCCAGCACUUUUCUACAGUGCGAUGUGGGGACGGAGAAAGUUAGGUCUACCGGGCGUUGGUUGUCCCGGGGAAAGGCGGUAGGCAUGGAUCUU
Molecule: ribosomal RNA, 430 nt
Filed under: Rhodanobacter sp. FW510-R12
Lineage: Bacteria; Pseudomonadati; Pseudomonadota; Gammaproteobacteria; Lysobacterales; Rhodanobacteraceae
Description: bacterial LSU rRNA
Rfam family: Bacterial large subunit ribosomal RNA
Source: RNAcentral